This 1976-nucleotide ribosomal RNA is filed under the name marine metagenome. RNAcentral's name for it is "bacterial LSU rRNA". It matches the Rfam family "Bacterial large subunit ribosomal RNA", at positions 973 to 2925 of the family's 2925-position model. The record is from RNAcentral.
UAGCAUGGGAGUCAGUCUAUGGGUGCUAAGGUCCAUAGACGAGAGGGAAACAACCCAGAUCGCAAUCUAAGGUCCCCAAAUUUAGACUAAGUGGUUAAGGACGUGAGUUUUCAUAGACAGCCAGGAGGUAGGCUUAGAAGCAGCCAUCCUUUAAAGAUAGAGUAACAUCUCACUGGUCGAUGAGAAUUUGCACCGAAAAUGAAUCGGGGCUAAGUCUAGUACCGAAGAUGCGGAUUGUAUGUUUACAUACAGUGGUAGGGGAGCGUUCUUAAUGGAAUGAAGCAUUACCGUAAGGAGAUGUGGACUAUUAAGAAGUGAGAAUCCUGGCAUGAGUAGCGAUAAAAGUGGUGAGAAUCCACUUCACCGUAAGCGUAAGGGUUCCUGGGCAAGGCUCGUCCUCCCAGGGUUAGUCGGGACCUAAGGCGAGGCCGAAAGGCGUAGUCGAUGGAAAACAGGUUAAUAUUCCUGUACCACCUGUUAGGAGUGAUGGGGUGACGGAGAAGGAUAGAUCAUCCGUGUUUUGGAUUACACGGUUCAAGCUCGUAGGAUUAAGAAAUUGGCAAAUCCGUUUCUUUUAUAGUCUGAGAAGUGAGUACGAGAGGCCCUAGGCCUCAUAAAGUGAUUGAUUCCAUGCUUCCUAGAAAAACCUCUAAAUUUUGAUUAACAGGUGCUCGUACUGUAAACGGACACACGUACGCGGGUAGAGUAUACCAAGGUGUUUGAGAUAAUUAUGGCCAAGGAACUCGGCAAAAUAGCUCCGUAACUUCGGGAUAAGGAGUGCCUAUGUUAGGUGAAGGAUCUUGCAUCUGGAGCUGAGAUAGGUGACACUGAAAUGAUGGAAGCGACUGUUUACCAAAAACACAGGCCUGUGCUAACCCGCAAGGGGAUGUAUACGGGCUGACGCCUGCCCGGUGCUGGACGGUUAAGGGGAUGGGUUAUCCUUCGGGAGAAGCUUAGAACCGAAGCCCCAGUAAACGGCGGCCGUAACUAUAACGGUCCUAAGGUAGCGAAAUUCCUUGUCGUCUAAUUAGCGACCCGCAUGAAUGGCGUAACGACUUCUGUACUGUCUCGGCCAUAAUCUCAGCGAAAUUGUAGUGCUGGUGAAGAUGCCAGCUUCCCGUUGUGGGACGGAAAGACCCCGUGCACCUUUACUAUAACCUAGCACUGGAUUUUGAUGUUAAAUGCGUAGGAUAGGUGGGAGACUAUGAAAGUUCAAUUUUGGUUGGGCUGGAGUCGUUGGUGAAAUACCACCCUUUUGAUGUUAGGAUUCUAACUUUAAUCCGUUAUCCGGAUUGAGGACAAUGUUAGGCGGGUAGUUUGACUGGGGCGGUUGACUCCUAAAGAGUAACGGAGUCGCUCAAAGGUUCUCUCAGCCUGAUUGGAAACCAGGCGUCGAGUGUAAUGGCACAAGAGAGCUUGACUGUGAGAUUGACAAAUCGAGCAGGUACGAAAGUAGGACAUAGUGACCCGGUGGCUUCCAAGUGGGAGGGCCAUCGAUCAUCGGAUAAAAGGUACGCCGGGGAUAACAGAUUAAUCGCGCCCAAGAGUUCACAUCGACGGCGCGGAUUGAUACCUCGAUGUCGGCUCAUCGCAUCCCGGGGCUGUAGAAGGUCCCAAGGGUUGAGCUGUUCGCUCAUUAAAGCGGUACGCGAGCUGGGUUCAGAACGUCGUGAGACAGUUCGGUCCCUAUCUACAACGGGCGAAGGAGAAUUGAGAGGGGUUGCUCAUAGUACGAGAGGACCUGAGUGAACAAACCUCUAGUGUACCAGUUGUGGUGCCAACUGCAUUGCUGGGUAGCUACGUUUGGAAAGGAUAACCGCUGAAAGCAUCUUAAGUGGGAAACCUGCCUCGAGAUUAAUUCUCCCGAACCAUUAGGUUCCUUAAGACCACUCGAAGACUACGAGUUUGAUAGGCACAGUGUGUAAGUUUCGUAAGAAAUUCAGCUAAUGUGUACUAAUCGGUCGUGAGCCUUAAUU